CAAGGCGGCCUGCAGACAGACCUGGCCUCUCACAUGUGCGUGGCAGUGGUUUGUGGUUAGAGCGCGGGGAACUGUAGGUCCUCCUAUUCCACCUCUCGCUACCCCAGCGACCCCUUCCUGCGCCGCCGACGCCGCCGCCUCGCCCACCACGACCGCCACUUGCCGCGCGCCGUGCUCCGCCGGCCGCAGCUGGGCAGCUGCUGCGACGACCUCAAGGAGGCGUGCGCGUGCGGGCAGUCCCCCGGGUUCGAGCCGACGCCGCUUCCACCUACGCCGCGUACGCACCAGGAGUAAAGGUUCAUGUUGGGCCGGUGGCUGCUCCACUGGCUCGUGAGCCGCUCGAGGACGGACUGCGAGCAGCCGUCGGAGUUGGUGACGAGCCAGUGGUGGUCGCUCCCGUAGCCGUUGUGGGCGGUACCGAUGGUGGGACAGGUCGUCGCGGAGCGGCCGAAGGUGCGAAGGGUCACGCCGAAGACGUGGGGGCCGUACACGUACAGGUAGAAGAGGCGGGAGCAGUUCCGGCUGUUCGGGCUGCCGGGACGGGGCGGUUGCCCUAAGAGGUUCGAGUGGACGAGGCUCCGGCUCGUGCGGCAGAGGCCGUUGGAAACGGCGACGUGACCGAUGGCCGGGUAGGAGCUGUGGACGUUCUCGAAGCGGCGACUGCAACUGGAGCUCCUGGAGCCGGAGUUGAGCAAGACCUUCUUUCCGUGACUGGCGCGGCUGCAGCCAUUCGACGGCCUUAUGAGGUCGCCGCGGCAGACGUGGAAGGGACUCAAGGAUUUCAGACUCUAGUUCCCAGUUUACUUGCUACAAGGUCGCCGCUAGCGGCCGGUUCUGCCGGCCAUGGUAGGGUUCUCGUAGCUCCUCGAAGUAUCGGAGAAACUAAGGUUGACCAAGCUGCUUUUGAGCCAGUUCUAGCACCGCAGGUUAUGGCCGCGGCCUCAAAUGUUCCUAGUUCUGGACAUGCUAUUCAUGUAGCUGUAGGUUCCCUAGGGCCUCGAAAGGCAGUAGCUGUCCUCGUCGUUCCCCCACCUCUAGCCCCGUCGGCAGAGGUAGAGGUUUCGGUAGCUUCAGAAGAGGCUACCGUGAGGCCACAAGUGUUUCUAGCGGCCAGUGGAGUCGUUCCAACGGAGCGGCAAGCAGGCCUUGUGCCGCUGACAGCCGCCCUUGCACUAGUACCGUGUCGCCGACGUCAAAGGCAGCCUAUAGCGGUGGUAAGAAGAGCGGCGCCCAAGCUGCCAGUGUCAGGUCUGCCGAAGGUUCUACGACGCGGACUGCGAGCUACUCAAGAACCUCGUCGGAGGGACACUACGGUUCUGGUAUGACGAGUCGUAUAAACAGGGCCUAACCCCAAGUCUGUUACAGUAGAAGCUCUGGAGAGCACGUAGGGGCUCUGGCAAGCCGUUACGACAGAGGAAACACUUAAGACGUAAGGACCGUUCCUGAAGUCCCGUCGAGCAUUAACUCCUAUAGACGGAACGUAAACCGCGAAUGCCACAGCUAGUGUGGUGGGCCCGAGCCUUUCAACUCCUUAAGGACUUCCCCUUUAGUCACUCACGUCGCCACUAUGAACUUCGUCAAGUCAACGACUUUCUACAAUAGAGCGGCAGUCUUCCGUGGUGUGUGGGACUCAUGUCUCAGUCGAACCGACAGUCAAAGAAUAAGUCAAAGGAAAGAAGUGAACCAUUGUUGGACUUACUUGGCCGCUUACGAUAACGAGGGUUACCCAGUAGACGAUUACCGAGGCUCUUCGUACCAUGAGAACCUUCGCUACUGAACGGCCAAGCGAGUUCCGUUCUUGAUCAAAAGUCACUACUUAUGUUUGGACAGCCGUUUGGAUAGUGCUUUCGGCCCCGCCUCGACGUUCGAAGACCCCUCCGACACAUACAACUACUGUAGGGACGAGGGUUCCUAACGGAGAUACCUCGUAAAUAGAUGUCGUGUGUGGGAGUACGGGUACAUUUUUCACAGUUGAAGUCUAGUAGAAACCGAAGUCUUUUCCAGUAGUGUCAAUAGAGGCGUUUCCUGUAAGGUCAACCACCAUUUUUACAACCUAGGCCGAUGUCCUACGAUCCUCUCCUUCAAGAAAAGCCACUAGGCCAUAGACUUAAACGACCAGUUUUAUAACCGUAACACUAACGACUUUGUGUCUUCAUGCGGAUAUACCGCCGCUUCGUUCGACAUUAGCUCAUAUCAUGGCUCUUAGAACUCGGCGGCUAAGACUGUUAACUCCUACGGUAGGUUGUAUUGUCGAUAAAGGUUUGAGGGGGUAAAAACCGAGGAGCCGGUCAACCCCUGUAGCUGGUUCCCUACAGAGUUCGACUAGUGUUCUAGAAUAGUCCUCUCCACUUUGAACUUAGUGUCAUGAUGAAGAUGUACCUCUGAGUCUGGCGUAACCGGUAGGGGCUGCUUCUAUUGACGCAGUGGCAGAUGAGCAGAUGCGUCGCUGGGCUCUAGUAAGUCUUAGAGCAGCGCCUGACGGAGCCGUAAGGGAUGGUGUUACAGGCGCAGUAGUGUUCCUCUCAACCUCCGCCGAAACCACCUUUCCCUGACUUUCCUCGGGUACAUCGUACACGCACACGUCAAAGUCGCAAGUUCGACGUCGCGGGACAGGCCUACAUGGAGCUGGCGUUCUGCCUGUUCUCGUACCGGCCUCCCGCCGUGGGCUACUUCCGCUUCAUGAGACAACCCAAAUUCAGCCUGCCAUGCGAGUGCCGAGACGUGCAGCUAGAACCCUAGUUGCGGCCCUAUAGCGGCCUGAAAUCGGGCAACUAGGGCCCAGUGUGGUAGAGAAGAGACUUCUUCAUGUUGACCCCGCGGGAGCGGAAGCUGUAGUUCAACACGUUCUGCUUGCACAGCAGGUUCAGCCGCCACGCCCGCGGGCCGCUGCACGUCCCGAGGAAGUAGCGGCUCCGGUAGUAGCUCGUGCACCGCAGGCGCGAGCCCCGGCUGUGGUUGCGGCAGGCCUCUUUCUUGGAGGUGUCGCAACUCUCGGAGUCCUUCAAGAUGCCGCUGAGGCGACCUCUGCGGGGCUGCAUGUCGGAGCACCUGUAGAAACUGUUCGACCGGAGCAGCGGCCUCAUGCCUUCGUACCGUCUCCGACAACUCGCCAAGUUACCGCCCUCGUCCACCUUCUUCGCGCCGUAGAGCACGCACGGCUAGUGGAUGCUCCACUGGGAGGCCGGCUGCGGCCCCUUCCACAGGUAGGACUUGCUGCCGAGCUAGCGACACCUCCAGCCGCCGCACCUCGAGCCCGUUCCCGACAUAUGGUUCCACUUCGUCUACUGCCGCAAGCCUAACGCCCUCGAGACGGGGCUGCGGCUGUCUGAGGAACUGUUUCAUGCGCAGUAGGUCCGGCUGUGCGACUCGUACUAGGUCCCGCCGAAGUGGCCGCCCUCGUGGUGGAGCCUCUUGUCGACGCUCCGCCAGUCCGUCCGCACGUGGCACGAGCAGUUCGCGGAGUUCGGGUAGUUUCUCCAGGAGCUCGGCUUCAGGCCACGCGGCCACGGUACCUCGUGGGACUAGCGGGUUCGCUUGUACCGUUCGCACUUGGACAGCCGCGUGCGGAAGACCUGCGGUCUGGGUCGGAAACAUUUUAUGUAGUUGAUGCCUCGGCGGCAGUCGCUCCACCUUUAGCUGCACGACUGACCCCCGUGCUGCUAGGACUCCUCGCUGGAACACAUGCUGACACCCGUCUUGGACUUGGGCCGCCACCUGGAGCCGGUCCACCUCCCACGCAAGCACGUUCCCCACCCAAAGAAGUGCUUGCUCCUGAUACGCUCCUUGCGCCUGCCCGACCACCACUUGCUGCCGUGGACCUGCAUGUUCUAGGGAUGCCAACUGUGGUAGGGAUUCGUCAAGUUGCACCUCGAGUAAUUGUCGCGCGCGCUGGUCUUCGCGCACGAGAGGAGGUUCCGCAGGCCGCUCGGCGGCGACGACGACCGCCGCAGCCACGUGACGCGGUACGCCCUCCGGUAGUCCCGCCGGUCCUUCCUUAACUUCCGGUUGAGCGGCGACUGCAAGGUCUACCUGCACGGCCGCUGGUACCGGCUGCAGUUCCUCGACACGCCGGAGCUGCAGCAGCUCUCCGUGGAAGUCUCGGAGUGAAGGCGGCGGCGGUCGCGGCGUGAGUUCCGCACUAGCAUAAAGGUACAUGCAACACAGCUUUGCACCCGCAUACAUGAUGACGUAUACUAGCAUAAACGUAGUAUGAGAAGAAGGUUAACUACGUACGAACUAACGAGGGGUCGAACAAGACACGACAGUAAACCGUAAAAGUAGAGGAACACUUUUAAAUUACACGUCAACAACAGGAGGUAAAGGUA
Molecule: ribosomal RNA, 4325 nt
Filed under: Triticum aestivum (bread wheat)
Lineage: Eukaryota; Viridiplantae; Streptophyta; Magnoliopsida; Poales; Poaceae
Description: partial small subunit ribosomal RNA
Source: RNAcentral